RNAcentral lists this ribosomal RNA (244 nucleotides) under uncultured Actinomycetales bacterium. RNAcentral describes it as "partial 16S ribosomal RNA". It matches the Rfam family "Bacterial small subunit ribosomal RNA", at positions 89 to 334 of the family's 1533-position model. Lineage: Bacteria; Bacillati; Actinomycetota; Actinomycetes; Actinomycetales. The record is from RNAcentral.
GCUCGAGUGGCGAACGGGUGAGUAACACGUGAGUAACCUGCCCUUGACUUUGGGAUAACUUCAGGAAACUGGGGCUAAUACCGGAUAGGAGCUCCUGCUGCAUGGUGGGGGUUGGAAAGUUUCGGCGGUUGGGGAUGGACUCGCGGCUUAUCAGCUUGUUGGUGGGGUAGUGGCUUACCAAGGCUUUGACGGGUAGCCGGCCUGAGAGGGUGACCGGCCACAUUGGGACUGAGAUACGGUCCAG